Molecule: long non-coding RNA, 3445 nt
Filed under: Cotesia glomerata
Lineage: Eukaryota; Metazoa; Arthropoda; Insecta; Hymenoptera; Braconidae
Description: uncharacterized LOC123260026
Source: RNAcentral
UUAAUCGAGUAAAAAUUUUCACCAGCGUACCUUUUCAAAAUUAAAAAAAAAAAAAAAAAGAAAGAAAAAAACAAAUAAGGUCCAGUGUUAUUUAUUUUGUCGGCAUAUCCAAGAUCCAGCACAUCAGUGUCCGGUAUUCUUCGCUUGCUAAUUCCAUAAUAAAUGUAAAUCCUCCUCUUAUAUUCUUACUCUGUUUGUAAUAGUAGCAUACCGUUUAUGUGUGUAUUCUUCGUCUCCGACUGUCUUCUCUGUGAAAAUGUCUAAUCCUCAAACGAAUGUUUAAAUCCUGGUGUAUUUUUCUGGUAUGGGUUUAUAUUAGUGUAAAUGGGUCUGUUCUUUCUACUCAGUGUCAUUACCUCUUUGUUAUCGCGUUUUUUCUCAACUCAUCUAUGUUCUGUACUUACGUGGUAAAAAUAAGUCUGUCAACCUAACUAUUUUAGUUGUGUAUCAUGUCGUCACUUUAACGUCUCUACUUCUAUUCGUCAUACUUGUUAUAGUACUUGUCGUCAAUCAUCCUAUCCUUAUUUCCGACACCAACACUCACACCUAAACAGAUGGCUUGCACGCUAAACUUUACACUCUCAACCUUACUUUUUUUUACACGAAACUAAAUCGGGUUAAAGUAAUUACUGUCUUACAAGUAACGAAAAAAUAUUAAUAAUUUAAUUUUUUUUUUCCUUGUACAUUUUUGGGACCAGCACAAACUCUUUUUGCAAUACGUCGUACUUUGAGCAAUAAAACAACAAAAUAUACUAAAGAAGUUUUUAUUUUGGAAUUUAUAAUAAAUGUUGACUAAUAUAGAGUCUAUAUAAUAACUACGACGUAUCGAAAAAAUGAGAAUAUUAUGUCAUUAAAAGUACUUAAUUCAACCAACAUAUAUUUAUACAAGAUAACAUUACAUUAAACUGGAUCACUAACAAACUCAUUAUUUUAAAGACAUUUUGGAACAGUACAUUACAAUUUUUUUUUUACUUAUUAAUAAGUUUACAUUUAAUAGAAAAAUGCGCUUCGUAAUUCAAUAAAUAACUUAAUUAUCAAAGUAUGAAGUGCUUAUUAAACAUUUGAAUUUAUUUAUAAACAAUUAAAUUUGAAAAUUUACAUUUAUUGAAAAAAAAAAAGUCUAAAUCUUGAACUAUGUUCCCGUAAUUACAAUCGCGUAUGUUUUUUUUUCAUUUUAAGACUUCAAAUUUCAUAUAUUGCUAAAAAAAAAAAGAAUUUUAGUUUUUUAAAUAUAAAUAUGAGCUAUUGUCUCGUUUUUUUAGGAAAAUUCUCGGUAAAUUACAAAUUCAAUGUUUGAACUGAAAGGAAGUGUUUUUACAGUAUUUUUCUUGAUAAAUGGUCACUUUUGCAUUUAAAAAAAUCAUUUGAUAAUUAUUAUUGGCAAUAUUUUGAAAAUUCCAAGUCUUUUUAAUUGAAAAAAAAAAAUAAGAAAAUUGGAGGUGAUACUGUACAAGAUGUCCUUAGAAAUAAUAAAAUUUUCUACCUCCGUAACCAAAACCACUUAUUACUCGUUUGUUGUGAAGAAAAAUUGCAUGGCCUGUCCUAAAAAUGGUGUAAUUAUUUUCUGUAAUUAACAGUCGUGGGAUGUGAAUCCGUCACACAUGAAUGGGAAAUUGGUGUGCCUGUUUAAUAAAUAAUUAUUUUAUUUUACAACUAAAACCAACAAUUAACAUAAAAAAUAACUUGAAAUUUGAAUUAACAAAUUUUUUAAGUACCGAUUUCGAUACUAGGGGGCGAUUACAACGUUACCGUUAGAAGUCGCGUUACAUACACAGACCUCGUUAUUAAUUUUUACAGAUAAUAUAUAUUAACUAAUCACACAGAGUAUAUAUAUUAAUAUAAAUUUCAAGUAUAAAUAUAUAUAAAUAUAUACAGUAAAAAUAUUCACAGAACAUUAAUAAUUAACACUGUAAAUAUGUCUUUUAAAUUUAUUAACUAUUGAUUAAUGAUUAACUGAUAAAUAUAGAGUUUAAAUAAUAAUUUUAAUAAUGGUUUACUCUAGUAACAAAUUUAAUGUACUUAUCACUAUCACGAUCUUUAAAUAUUAAAUAUUUUAAAUGAAAUAAGGUAAAAAUGCCUGUCUAACAAUACUCACAAUUUAAAUAUUAAUUACUCUACAAUGUAUGUCUAUGUCUUUGUUUAAAUAUUUGUUUUUUUUUUCUUUUUCUUUUUCUUAAACAAACUGAGGGCGUCUGACCAACUGCUCGAAACGCGUCGCGGCUAAGGCUCAUUUCCGUUAAUUAAAUUAUUACUAGGUAACCACCGACCCCCACGCCAUAUUUGUUAAUUUUAAUUAUAAUAAAAAGCAUCGAUUUUUUAAUCAAUACUAUAAACAUUAAUAAUUUUUUAUUACUAAUUAUUAAAAGUCAAUAAUGACAGAAUAAUUGUUUCAUUUAUAAUUAUUGUAUAAUUUUAUUUUAUUUUUUUAAAUUAAUUAUUAUUAAAAGUUUUAAAUUAAGCAAGCAGUGUACUAUAAAUUGUGCAUGCAUUUUUUUAUUUGUAAGAAACUAAAAAAAAAUAAUUACGCUACUUAGUAAUGACUAUUAACGUCUGGCGAAAGGCAAAAGUCUAUAAAAAUACAACGCGGACGACUUGAGUUCGAUUCCCGAUGGUGGUAUAUUUGAAAUAACUUUGUGUAAUUAUUUUUUUUUUUUAGAUAUUUUAUAAUUUAAAUUAUAUUUAUUUUAUAUUUAAUGUUUAAUAUAUUAAUAAUUAUUUUUAUGAUUUGAAAAUAUAUAUAAAAAAAUAUACUGUCAUUAAUAAUUUGACUUUUAAGCGCCAGCAUCUCGCGUUUCUUUAGCCUGGGAAGUUUUGAAUUUUGAAUCUGAAAUUUUAAGGAACAAAAGUAGCAAAAAUAGGUGAAGUAAAUAAGGGCUAGCGGAAGCGCGAUGAUGCAGCGUGCCAAAACUUUUAAAUCAGAAAAAUCUAAAAGAAAAAAAAAGUAAAAAAAAAAUACAAAAGUCAAAAAAAUAUAUUUUCAUUUUAUUUGAAAAAAUUCAGAUAUCUGCAAUGCAGACUUUAAUCUCAUUCUCGAUUUAAAAUCAGUGGAGUAUAUAAAUAUAUUAUUUUAUCUUACUAAUUAAUAUUCAAAUUUAAAAGAUUUAAUGUACUUAUAUUUUGAAAUUGCUCGAGAUAAUAGCGGCACACUCGUGGAUAAAAAAAAAAAAACUGACGAAUCGAGAGUGAGAUAGUUUAAGAAAUGGGUGGGUUCGAAUUAAUUAAAAAUACGAAUAAUGAAUAAUAGAUACGUCAAAUGAAUUUGACAUUUAAAUUUAAAUGGUUAAUAAAAUAAAAAAUAAAAUUAGUCGAUAAUGAAAUAUGUAUAGUGUAUGAAAAGAUAAAAACAAAUGAAUCUUUUUAUCUAACCGUUAUUAAUCCAAAUAUCUACUACUGCCACUGUUACGUUAAUGUCCAAGAGUUAAUAAACGAACAAAAAUAUUAAUAA